GCGUGGGUGAAGAAGGUCUUCGGAUUGUAAAGCCCUUUCGACAGGGACGAUGAUGACGGUACCUGUAGAAGAAGCCCCGGCUAACUUCGUGCCAGCAGCCGCGGUAAUACGAAGGGGGCUAGCGUUGCUCGGAAUUACUGGGCGUAAAGGGCGCGUAGGCGGCGCAGUUAGUCAGGCGUGAAAUUCCUGGGCUCAACCUGGGGACUGCGCUUGAUACGGCUGUGCUAGAGGAUGGAAGAGGCUCGCGGAAUUCCCAGUGUAGAGGUGAAAUUCGU
Molecule: ribosomal RNA, 275 nt
Filed under: uncultured bacterium
Lineage: Bacteria
Description: partial 16S ribosomal RNA
Rfam family: Bacterial small subunit ribosomal RNA
Source: RNAcentral